RNAcentral lists this ribosomal RNA (825 nucleotides) under uncultured organism. RNAcentral's name for it is "SSU rRNA". It matches the Rfam family "Bacterial small subunit ribosomal RNA", at positions 623 to 1462 of the family's 1533-position model. The record is from RNAcentral.
GCAGUUGAUACUGGAUAUCUUGAGUGCAGUUGAGGCAGGCGGAAUUCGUGGUGUAGCGGUGAAAUGCUUAGAUAUCACGAAGAACUCCGAUUGCGAAGGCAGCCUGCUAAGCUGCAACUGACAUUGAGGCUCGAAAGUGUGGGUAUCAAACAGGAUUAGAUACUCUGGUAGUCCACACGGUAAACGAUGAAUACUCGUUGUUUGCGAUAUACGGCAAGCGGCCAAGCGAAAGCGUUAAGUAUUCCACCUGGGGAGUACGCCGGCAUCGGUGAAACUCAAAGGAAUUGACGGGGGCCCGCACAAGCGGAGGAACAUGUGGUUUAAUUCGAUGAUACGCGAGGAACCUUACCCGGGCUUAAAUUGCAGAUGAAUUACGGUGAAAGCCGUAAGCCGCAAGGCAUCUGUGAAGGUGCUGCAUGGUUGUCGUCAGCUCGUGCCGUGAGGUGUCGGCUUAAGUGCCAUAACGAGCGCAACCCUUGUUGUCAGUUACUAACAGGUUAUGUUGAGGACUCUGACAAGACUGCCAUCGUAAGAUGUGAGGAAGGUGGGGAUGACGUCAAAUCAGCACGGCCCUUACGUCCGGGGCUUCACACGUGUUACAAUGGGGGGUACAGAGGGCCGAUACCACGCGAGUGGAUGCCAAUCCCAAAAACCUCUCUCAGUUCGGACUGGAGUCUGCAACCCGACUCCACGAAGCUGGAUUCGAUAGUAAUCGCGCAUCAGCCACGGCGCGGUGAAUACGUUCCCGGGCCUUGUACACUCCGCCCGUCAAGCCAUGGGAGCCGGGGGUACCUGAAGUGCGUAACCGCGAGGAGCGCCCUAGGG